UACGUAGGGGGCGAGCGUUUGUCCGGAUUUAUUGGGCGUAAAGGGUGCGUAGGUGGCGGGGUAAGUCAGGUGUGAAAUCUCGGGGCUCAACCCCGAAACUGCACUUGAUACUGCCUUGCUCGAGUACUGGAGAGGAGAUUGGAAUUUACGGUGUAGCAGUGAAAUGCGUAGAUAUCGUAAGGAAGACCAGUGGCGAAGGCGAAUCUCUGGACAGUUACUGACACUGAGGCACGAAGGCCAGGGGAGCAAACGGG
RNAcentral lists this ribosomal RNA (254 nucleotides) under uncultured bacterium. RNAcentral describes it as "partial 16S ribosomal RNA". It matches the Rfam family "Bacterial small subunit ribosomal RNA", at positions 524 to 776 of the family's 1533-position model. The record is from RNAcentral.